Molecule: long non-coding RNA, 157 nt
Organism: Telopea speciosissima
Lineage: Eukaryota; Viridiplantae; Streptophyta; Magnoliopsida; Proteales; Proteaceae
Exons: 3
Source: RefSeq, a predicted model, not a curated record
AGAAGAAAGGAGGAAAGGGAAAAAGAAGAACCCAAUUACGGAUUUCUCAAUUCCUGUAUCAGAGCUUCUUCCAACAAACUCUCUGACUCCUCCAUCAAUUCAUGGCUCAAUCUAAACAUUAAAAUACAAAAUUCCAUCUGAUUAAGAGCACCAUCAC